This is a non-coding RNA of Pelobates cultripes (western spadefoot toad), 205 nucleotides long. The record is from the annotation of a GenBank genome assembly. NCBI's taxonomy places the organism in Eukaryota, Metazoa, Chordata, Amphibia, Anura, Pelobatidae.
ACAUUCCGUAGUGCUUUACAAUAUUAUAAGGGGGGGGGAGGGGGGUAAGGACAAUUACACACAAAAAACAAAAACUUACAGAAAUGAUAGGUUCAAACGAGCUUACAGUCUAUGGGACGUGGGGUAUAAAACACAAUAGGACAGGAAAUAGCAAUCAAAUAAGGUGGGAGUGAAGCAGAGCUAGAGGAGAGAGUAGAGUGCUGCC